Small nuclear RNA from Molossus molossus (Pallas's mastiff bat), 107 nucleotides. Lineage: Eukaryota; Metazoa; Chordata; Mammalia; Chiroptera; Molossidae. The record is from RefSeq and is a predicted model, not a curated record.
AUGCUCACUUCAGCAGCACAUAUACUAAAAUGGGGAUGAUACCGAGGCAAUUAGUAUGGUCCUUGGGCAAGGAUAACAUGCACAUUCAUUAAGUAUCUCAUAUUUUU